RNAcentral lists this ribosomal RNA (253 nucleotides) under uncultured bacterium. RNAcentral describes it as "partial 16S ribosomal RNA". It matches the Rfam family "Bacterial small subunit ribosomal RNA", at positions 524 to 776 of the family's 1533-position model. The record is from RNAcentral.
CACGUAGGGGCCAAGCGUUGUCCGGAUUUAUUGGGCGUAAAGAGCUCGUAGGCGGUUGGGUAAGUCGGGUGUGAAAACUCUGGGCUCAACUCAGAGACGCCACCCGAUACUGCUCUGACUUGAGUCCGGUAGGGGAGUGGGGAAUUCCUGGUGUAGCGGUGAAAUGCGUAGAUAUCAGGAAGAACACCGGUGGCGAAGGCGGCUCUCUGGGCCUUACCUGACGCUGAGGAGCGAAAGCGUGGUAGCGAACAGG